Molecule: ribosomal RNA, 495 nt
Filed under: uncultured bacterium
Lineage: Bacteria
Description: partial 16S ribosomal RNA
Rfam family: Bacterial small subunit ribosomal RNA
Source: RNAcentral
GACGAACGCUGGCGGCGUGCCUAAUACAUGCAAGUAGAACGCAGAAGCCGUAGCUUUCUUCUCUGGAUGAGUGGCGAACGGGUGAGUAACGCGUAAGUAACCUGCCUGUUAGCGGGGGAUAACUAUUGGAAACGAUAGCUAAUACCGCAUAAUAGUAGAUGUCGCAUGACAUUUGCUGAAAAGGUUCAAUUGCAUCACUACCAGUUGCAGCUGCGUUGUAUGAGCUAGUGGGUGUGGUAACGGCUCACGAAGGCAACGAGACAUAGCGGACCUGAGAGGGGGGUUAGCCAGCCUGAGACUGUGACACGGCACAGACUGCCUCGGGAGGGGGCCGUAGGGCAACGUGGGCCAUGGGUGGAAGUCUGUCCGCGAUGGGCCGAGUGCGUGUAGAAGGUUUUCGGGUCGUAAAGGUCUGUUGUAGGGGAAGAAAGCGCGUGCGCGUGGAACGUUCCCACUGUGACGGUAUCUUACCAGAAAGCGACGGCUAACUACGUG